CAAGUCGAACGGCUCUUCGGAGCAGUGGCGGACGGGUGAGUAACGCGUGGGAACGUGCCCUUUGGUUCGGAACAACACAGGGAAACUUGUGCUAAUACCGGAUGAGCCCUUCGGGGGAAAGAUUUAUCGCCAUUGGAGCGGCCCGCGUUGGAUUAGGUAGUUGGUGGGGUAAAGGCCCACCAAGCCGACGAUCCAUAGCUGGUCUGAGAGGAUGAUCAGCCACACUGGGACUGAGACACGGCCCAGACUCCUACGGGAGGCAGCAGUGGGGAAUCUUGCGCAAUGGGCGAAAGCCUGACGCAGCCAUGCCGCGUGAAUGAUGAAGGUCUUAGGAUUGUAAAAUUCUUUCACCGGGGAAGAUAAUGACGGUACCCGGAGAAGAAGCCCCGGCUAACUUCGUGCCAGCAGCCGCGGUAAUACGAAGGGGGCUAGCGUUGCUCGGAAUUACUGGGCGUAAAGGACGCGUAGGCGGACAGUUUAGUCAGAGGUAAAAGCCCAGGGCUCAACCUUGGAACUGCCUUUGAUACUGGCUGUCUUGAGUUCGGGAGAGGUGAGUGGAAUGCCGAGUGUAGAGGUGAAUUCGUAGAUAUUCGGCGGAACACCAGUGGCGAAGGCGACUCACUGCCCGAUACUGACGCUGA
Molecule: ribosomal RNA, 641 nt
Filed under: uncultured Alphaproteobacteria bacterium
Lineage: Bacteria; Pseudomonadati; Pseudomonadota; Alphaproteobacteria
Description: bacterial SSU rRNA
Rfam family: Bacterial small subunit ribosomal RNA
Source: RNAcentral